CCUACGGGAGGCAGCAGUGGGGAAUAUUGCACAAUGGGGGAAACCCUGAUGCAGCGACGCCGCGUGAGUGAAGAAGUAUUUCGGUACGUAAAGCUCUAUCAGCAGGGAAGAAAAUGACGGUACCUGACUAAGAAGCCCCGGCUAACUACGUGCCAGCAGCCGCGGUAAUACGUAGGGGGCAAGCGUUAUCCGGAUUUACUGGGUGUAAAGGGAGCGUAGACGGCAGCGCAAGUCUGGAGUGAAAUCCCAUGGCUUAACCAUGGAACUGCUUUGGAAACUGUGCAGCUAGAGUGCAGGAGAGGUAAGCGGAAUUCCUAGUGUAGCGGUGAAAUGCGUAGAUAUUAGGAGGAACACCGGUGGCGAAGGCGGCUUACUGGACUGUAACUGACGUUGAGGCUCGAAAGCGUGGGGAGCAAACAGGAUUAGAUACCCGGGUAGUC
Molecule: ribosomal RNA, 440 nt
Filed under: uncultured bacterium
Lineage: Bacteria
Description: partial 16S ribosomal RNA
Rfam family: Bacterial small subunit ribosomal RNA
Source: RNAcentral